Molecule: ribosomal RNA, 120 nt
Filed under: uncultured bacterium
Lineage: Bacteria
Description: partial 16S ribosomal RNA
Rfam family: Bacterial small subunit ribosomal RNA
Source: RNAcentral
GACGAACGCUGGCGGCGUGCUUAACACAUGCAAGUCGAGCGGAAAGGCCCUUCGGGGUACUCGAGCGGCGAACGGGUGAGUAACACGUGAGCAACCUGCCCUUGGCUUUGGGAUAACCCU